AUUCAUCCUGCCGCCGUAUCGACCCGCGGCCGACCCCGCGCGGCCAGGCGCCCCCGCCCGCUGCCCUCUCCUUUCCCAGCCCGGCCUCCCCCGCGGGGGCUGUCACCGAGCGCCUGGCACGGCCGGGCCAUGCCCCGGGGAAGGAGGGACCAGGGCCGGGGGCGGGAGCCAGCCCUUGUGCUCGCAGCCCUGGGUUCGGAGCCCAGCUGCCCGGGAAGGUUUCCAGAUCUCCCUGAGCCUCAGUUUCCCCAUCUGUAAACUGGGUGGUGGUGGCUUCGUCCCCCGCUUUGAGAGGACAGCAGGAGAGGCGUCCUGAGAAGUGAGUUCGCCUGGAAGCUGCCGGGCUGUAGUUUGCGUUGAUACCACCGAUCUUCCCGGUCACUCUAGGAGACGGGCCAUAUCCCCGUUUUACAAAUGAGGAAACUAACUCAGCGAGGGGAGACGCCGUGUCCAGGGACACACAUGCACAUUUGCGAGCGGGUGAAAAUUUCUGUGAAUGUUUAUAAGCACAUGGAACGGGCAUCUUUGUGGCUGCGGGAGUUGCACGGGUCACUCAUGAGGCCGCCCACGUGGCGCUUGUUGCUUCACCUCUCGAGUAACUGACGGUAUGUUCUGGCCCUCAGCUCUCCCGGGCAGUGUCCAUCACACUCAUGGCUUCCUAGACUUCCAUCUCCGGUCUAAUCACCUUCCGAACGCCAGAACCAUCACGUCUGCUGCCCUUGAACACCUCCCCUAGGUGUCCCUGUGGGCCACCCAGGUUCCCUCCACCCCAGUCUUCCCCACCUGCUUCUCCUUCAUGCUUCCCUCUCAGGGAGUUUGAGACCAGGCUGACCAACAUGGAGAAACCCCGACUCUACUAGAAAUACAAAAUCAGCUGGGUGUGGUGGCGCAUGCCUGUAAUCCCAGCUACUCGGGAGGCUGAGGCAGAAUUGCUUGAGCCUGGGAGGCGGAGGUUGCAGUGAGCCGAGAUUGCACCAUUGCACUCCAGCCUGGGCAACAAGAGCAAAACUCCGUCUCAAAAAAAAAAAAAAAAAAAAAGUAAAAGUAAAAGAAAGUCAAUCACCAAUAAUGCUGGAAUAUGUCAACUUUUCUCCCACCUCUUGCCACUGAUCCAGACCCCAUUCCCUCUGCCCGGGUGAUCCCUUAUAGCUACCCAGGGCUGCGGCUUUGCUCCAUUCAAGCCAUUUUCCACGCAGCAGCAGCCAGGGCCGUCUUUCCAGAGUGUAUUAGGUUGGUGCAAAAGUAACUGUGGUUUUUGCAAUUAAAAGUAAUUGUAGGCCAGGCACAGCGGCUCAUGCCUGUAAUCGCAGCACUUUGGGAGGCUAAGACAGUUGGAUCACUUGAGGUCAGGAGUUCGAGACCCACCUGGCCAACAUAGUGAAACCUGGUCUCCACUAAAAAUACAAAAAUUAGCUGGGCAUGGUGGCACACGCCUGUAAUCCCAGCUCCUGGGGGGGUGGGGGGGCAGGGCUGAGGCAGGAGAGUCGCUUGAACCCAGGAGACGACAGCUGCAGUGAGCUGAGAUCACGCCACUGCACUCCAGCCUAGGCGACAGAGUGACUCUGUCUCAAAAAAAAAAAAAAAAAAGGAAUUGCAAAAACCGCAAUUACUUAAUAGAUCUGACCAAGACUCUCCCCAGGUUCAAACCCCGGCUUCAAACCUUUUGCUCCUUAUAGUCUUUUUUUAAAACUCUUAUCUGUGGCUCAUUGUGUCUCAAGACAGCCAAGCAAACCGAACUGCUAGGAAUUUUCCCAAUGGAACAUUCUCUCUGCAAGUCCUUUGCUCUUGCGGUUGCUCCUCCAGGAGCUCCUGCCUCCCUCUUCUCUUCCCUUCCUUGAGGCUCAGCAUGGGAGAGGCCCUGCUGCAGGUGCCCUCUGACCUCUCAGGUAGGGGAGGGGGCCUCUGUCCUCUGCAAACCUGCGCUGAGUGCUCUGGAUGGUUCCGUCCCUUGGAUUGGGCCUCCCCAAGGGCAAGACCCUGCCUGGUUCACCCUGGCCGCUCAUGCAGAGGCCUGCCUAACAUAGCUGCUGAAUGAAUGAAUGAAUGAAUUGAAUUGAAUAAUGGACAAAGCCCAACAGGGAGGGUUAGCAUAAAGGGGAGACAGG
RNAcentral lists this long non-coding RNA (2105 nucleotides) under Homo sapiens (human). RNAcentral describes it as "non-protein coding lnc-C9orf50-1:6". Lineage: Eukaryota; Metazoa; Chordata; Mammalia; Primates; Hominidae. The record is from RNAcentral.